RNAcentral lists this unclassified non-coding RNA (2010 nucleotides) under Hevea brasiliensis (rubber tree). The record is from RNAcentral. Lineage: Eukaryota; Viridiplantae; Streptophyta; Magnoliopsida; Malpighiales; Euphorbiaceae.
CAAGAAGGAAGAACGUUGCCGCAUCUAAGAUUGACAUUGUAAAAUUGGAAGAUUCAAAUGAAGGGAAGCCUAUUGGUCCAUCAAAGAAGCAGAUCAAGCGAGUGGAUUCAGCAAAUGAUCAAGUUUCAGAUGCUGAUGAGUGUUGGAUUUCACUCAAGUAUCAUGGCUCCAAGAGUGAUUUUUCUUCUAGAUAUCUAAAAAAAAUGGUGGCACAAGAGAGUUCUCCGAUGGAGUUCACAAUGAGCCCGUACGACUAUUUGAGUUCAUUGUGUCCAAUGGCAUCCAACGACAAUACUAAAUCUAAAGGUUCCUCAAGAAGGUUAUUGCUUUCACUGCCACUGGAAGAACGUAUUAAGAAACUGCUUUUAGAGGGGCCUCCAGUUCAACGGUUUAGUGUUCUUAAGCAUUAUGCUCCUGAUGAUGCCAUUGAAGAUGUCUUAACUGUUCUUCAGAAGCAUGGACAAUUAGUUCAGGGACUUUGGGCUCCAAAGACUUCAUUGCUGUUUCCAGAUUCAAAUACAAAGGAAGUUACUAAACCUCCGGCUAGAGAUUAUGUUCUUCUUUUAUUUAGCAAGAAUUUGGUGAUCAAGUCUUCACAACUUAACUUCCCAAUCAAGCUUAAAGAAGAUAUGAAGAGCUUCCUCAACGUGUUUGCAGUUGAAAGGCCUUCCUUUAAGGAUUGGAAGUUCAAAGAGCAUAUGGAUGCAACAUUUAUAAAACUCUACCCAGAAAUUGUUAAAAAGCAAGAAGAAGCUUGGGAAGCCAUAGAGAAAAAGUUAAAUGACUUUUUUAGUCGAGCUGGAAGACCUAUGAUGAAGAAUCCUGUACCAAAGCCCAGUGUGGCUCAUAAUCCUGUAAAACAAUUGAAUUCUGACAAAAGCACAACCAAAAGUGCUAGUGGAAAUAGAGUACUCACUAAAACUACCAUAACAGUUGAAACGCGAGAAGCUUUACUAAAGGCCCUGCCAAAAGUUCUUCAAAAUCACAGGGUUUGCAGCUUUCAAUUGAUUUGCCAAGGUUUGCGGGACUUGGCCAUUUCUCAGUCUACUCUUCCAAAGGCAGAUCCUAGAAUUGCAGUAGCUGCAGCAUCUGGUGCUGAUGCUCCUUCAGAGGAGCUUCAAGAAAUCAUAAGCCAAGUUGCAACGAAUAUUCAUGGUUUUUAUGUUUUGAAGUCAUCCCCAGACCACCCACAAUAUGAUCCACUGAGGAAAGUAGUAAUUGAUCUUCUAUUGGCAAGGGGCCCUGAUGCAAAGCUUAAGAAGGCUGAAGUAUUCGAAGCAGCCAGGCUUGCUCUUCAUAGGGAUGUUACCAAUGUUGAAUAUACGAAGGUUAUGACUGAUUUUUGUGAAUCCAAAGGUUCUGCGUGGGUAUUGAAGAGUGGUGAUGGAAAGCCGUCAUGAUUUUAUGUUAAAUCAUUCAUUAGAAGGAUGAAGAAAAUUGGUUGGAAGGUACAGGUCAUAUCAUUUUAGUGGAAGUCAAGGCACGUGAGAAAGAAUAUAACCAAGAACACUGAUAAAGCGGCUUUGAAGAAUUCUGAUCCAGAAAUUACAUGCGUAUUGCCUAGGGUAACUGCGAAGUAGCAAGAUUCGUGGUCCAAACUUGAAGGCGAAAUUGAAGCCAUCAGAGGAGCCCGAGAACUGCAAUCCAGAUGCUUAAUCCAACAAUCUGCUUGAAGAUCAUAAAUGAGAGUUUCAUACUUUCAACCCAAUAGAUGUUUGCUGUCAUAAGUGAAAAUUUUGAUUGGGUGUUGAUCGUCAAAUAGGUCUGUUAAUCUUGAUUCAGUUUUUUGGCUGUCUAUACAAAGUCGUUUCUGUUUGCAAACCAAAACGGGUUUCUAAAUCUUUUUCGCACGUAUGCGUUGGCACUUAGCAUGCGACGUUCAUCGGUUUUCUCUGUAAGCGGCAAACAAUAAUUUUCUUUAUCUGCUAAUCAAAAUGAAAGAAAGAAGAAAAAGAUAAGCAAGGGUUAGGGAACUGCAAUCCUCUAAUGAUUUGAGCACUUACAACUUGU